RNAcentral lists this long non-coding RNA (3468 nucleotides) under Sorghum bicolor (sorghum). RNAcentral describes it as "long non-coding RNA (SBIC_LNC003618)". Lineage: Eukaryota; Viridiplantae; Streptophyta; Magnoliopsida; Poales; Poaceae. The record is from RNAcentral.
UGUGACGUGCGAGACCACGCCUCCACCGCGCAGGCGACAGGUGCAGGUCCAGGUGCGGCCGUGUUGCGGGUCGCCAGGUCCAUGGCAGGCGUAGGUCUAGACGUGGCUCUAGGUGUGGGUGCGGCCGCGCGGGUCCAUUGCUGACCCAGCGUAGAUCGAGCUCGAGCUCCAGACCUACAGUGGUUAGUGGUACGGUCCCCUGCUUCCUCUUCUUGAACAUGGAUUCGCCCCAAUGCUUCUUCUUCGCCUAUGACUAUGACCAUGAGCUCCGACAGCGACAUGGAUUAUAAUGUGUGUAUGAACUUUAGCUGAUAAUUGAUAAUCCUGUGCUAGUCAUGUUUAUUGUUCUAUUGCUUUUAUCUUGUUUACUAUCGGGUAUGGGGAUCCCCGUCGGGGACCAAAUCCCCGCGGGGAACGGGGAUGGGAGAAAAAAUUCACCCGACGUUCUUCGCGGGGACGGGGACGGGGAAAAUUUUCCCCCGCGGGGACGGGGAUGGUGGGUCAAUCCCCGACGGGGAAUUCCCCAUUGCCAUCUAUGGUGCCGGACAUGUUCACCUGGAACCUAACUUCUUGCCAGAGCUACUCGGCGGCGUCCGCCUACAGUGCCAUGUUCUUUGGCUGCUCCAAGCUGCUGGGGGCUGCUCUAAUCUGGAAGACCCCGACGCCACCCCGUAUAAAGUUUUUCUUCUGGCUUGCCCUCCAUGGCAAGUGCUGGACGGCUGACAGGCGCUGGCGCCACGGGCUGCAGGACGACAACUCGUGCAUCACUUGUGACCAAUCUGAGACGCUGGAUCACAUCAUCCUGGGUUGUGUUUUCAGCAGAGAGGUUUGGGCCGCGUGCCUCAGGGCGUUUCACCUGCUUGAGCUGAUUCCAACGCAUGAGGAACGAAUCAUGGACUGGUGGACGACGUCUCGUAAGCGUCUACCGAAGGUGCUAAGGCGCGGUUUCGACUCCCUGUUCUUCUUGGUGGGCUGGAAUCUGUGGAAGGAGAGGAACGGCAGGACCUUUGAUAGGGCCGGCCGGCAGCCUCAGCAGCUCGCACAGGUUAUUGUGGAAGAGGCCUCUCUUUGGAUCGCGGCGGGUUACAGACCUUUGGGAGCUCUAGACGCCAGGCGCGCUGGUUGAUUAGUUUCGCGCCUCUGUGGCGCGUUUUUCUCUUGUCUUCUGUGUUGGGUUCUUGUGUGGGGUAAUCAGCGGAUUACUUUGUGUAAACUCUGGGUUCUCUGCUUAAUGAAACACAUGCCGUUGCAUGUUCUCGAAAUUUUUUUUUACCAAACCAUCUUCUUCUUCUUUUUUGCCGAACCCUAUACAACAUCUUUAAGAUAAAGAUGUUGCAAAUUCAGUCCUGGGUAGGAAAAAAUUGCUUAGAAAAAAAAAGUAUGAAAAGAAAUGUUCUGGUUACUAUUUUGUUUAUAGUUAGUGCUACAUGAUUAGCAAUGUGAGACAUAAUUUAUUUAUGGAACAUCUACUGUUUUGAUAGGCAGAAAGCCUUUUUUAUUCACAAAGUUCUUUUUUUUUUGCCAAGGUGGCCGAUCAAAAUAGAAAUACCUGCAGAAUAUUUUACGGCAGAAUGGUCAAAAGUAAUAAAGCACAUUUGACCUAGAGACAGACAAGACCAUUUGUGAAAAAAGUAGUGUCAUAUAGCAGCAAAAGUUGUGAGGUAGCCUGCGCACACCUAGACAGUAAACCUGAAACAUCUUUUUUUUGAAAGGAAUGGCAGAGCUCUGCCUCUCAAUUAAGGGAGUAAAGAGAAAGUUUUUAUGUACAGUUUAAGGAAACAGCUGCUGAAUAGCAGAGCACUUGGAGAAAAAACAAAAACUAGCCUACUCUCUGAACAGCCAUUUCUCUUUGCGCUAUGUCUUCUUUGACUUUUGAAGCAACCUGCAGCGCCGACUCAUGUGCAUUGUUGAAAAUUCUACGAUUUCUCUCCUUCCAAAGAUUCUAGCAAGUGUAAAUGACCAAGCCGUUGAAGCGCCUUCUUUCUUCUCUUGUGAUUUUUGGUACGGUCUCCUCCCACCAUGAACUCAAGCUAGAUGAGCCUUGGUGGAACUGGGUUAACUGGGUGUCAAAAUGCUCCCAGUUUAGGAUAUGAUUCCACACCGCCUUGGCGUACGGACAUAGUAGGGAAAGGUGUAAGCAUGUUUCUAAGGGGCCGUUGCACAGUACGCAGCGAUCCUGAUGGGGCCAACCUCUUCUCUGAAGGUUAUCCGCCAUUAAUAUCUUGCCUUGCACUAGGAUCCAAGCGAAGACUUUGCACUUGUUUUCCACUCGAGCUUUCCAAAUGAGGUCACCUUUGAAAAUGGCAUAAGAACCUUUGAACUGAAUCCUGUACGCAGAGCGGGUGGAAUAGCAACCAUCUGCAGUCCAUCGCCAAAUGAUGGAGCCCCUUACACCUGGCUGUAGGUGGACGGCUUGGAUUCUUAUCCAAAAUGAAACAAAUUCCUCCAAGUGUUCUGUGGUGUUGAUACGAUUACUUAGGAAGUGUAUCCAUCUGUCAUUGUCCAGCUCUUGCUGCACUGAUAUGUUUUUUCUUGCAGCCAGCUCAAACAGGUGUGGGGCAAGAUUUUUGGGGGCCUCACCAUCAAGCCAGUUAUCAUGCCAGAAACGGGCCUUGGCCCCGUCUCCAAUUGUGAUCGUGGUUGAGGCUCUAAAGAGGAGGCGGUCUUCUUCACUACAGGGAGUUCUGAGCCUACCCACGGUUUGGACUCAUCGGUCCAUUCCUGCCAAAGCCACCGCAGAUGAAGAGCCCUUCCAAAUUUCUGUAAGUCAGGGACUCCUAGGCCACCUAAGUCUUUUGGCCUAGCCACUGUUGGCCAAUUGACUAGGCAUUGCCCGCCAUUUGCAUUUUCCUCCCCUUUUCAAAGAAAAGAUCUCCUGAUUUUGUCAAUUUUCUUCUUAGCCCAUGCGGCCAGCGGGAAUACUGUGAGAUGAUAUGUUGGCAUGGAUGAGAGAAUGGAGGAGACCAACGUGAAAACCUGAAACAUCUGCCUCACAGUUUUCUGAAUAUUUUCUUGCCAAUACUUAUUUUCUCUUAUCUUCUCCUUAAUGAAUGCAUGUUCUAUAAAAAAACAUACUGCUGGAAACCCUGAAUUUCGGGUAACAGCGGAACUGGAUAUGGAGGCACUCUGUAUGUAGGUAGUAGGUUGCAUUCAUAUUUGGAUUGUAGGGGUGGGCGUCUGACUGAGGAAUUCAGUUCAGUUUUCGGGUUUUCAAGAUUUGGGUCAACCAAAAAAAUAGCCAAAAUACAUUGCAAAAUAUUGACCGAAUUAUCCAAAAUAAAUUGGGUCAGUUAGAACUUAGGAUGACCGAAGUAUUCGGUUUCGGUCUCAGUUGGUUUGGUUUGGCUCUUUAGUUUUGAGUACCCUACUGGAGCAUGUUAUGUCACUACUAACUACAGUCGUUGACGAUUGAGUUCUCUUUUGUUUGUUCGUGUAGCCUCUGAAACUGUCUCGACAGGUUUGCAGUCG